Molecule: long non-coding RNA, 1437 nt
Filed under: Pogona vitticeps (central bearded dragon)
Lineage: Eukaryota; Metazoa; Chordata; Lepidosauria; Squamata; Agamidae
Description: lncRNA (ENSPVIG00000003368.1)
Source: RNAcentral
AGCGCCCUCCUCCCGAGGAGACUCGCCCAGGCGCUGCCCGCCGCCCGCCGCCACCAUGUCCGAAAUCCUGCCCUACAACGACGACAAAGUGGCCCAUUAUGGCACCGACUCGGAAGUCAGCGACAUCUCCUUCAGCUGCCGCCUCCAGGACACCAACUCCUGGGGCAACCAGUCCAAGCGGCCCCCGAAGCUGGGCCAGAUCGGGCGAGCCAAGCGAGCGGUGAUCGAAGAUGAUAGAAUAGACGAGGUGCUGAAGGGGAUGACAGACAAGUCGCCUUCCGGGGUAUAAAUUCCGCUGCAACCAAAGGCGCCUGCACCCGGCUGCAGGCUGACCCCUGAAAAUUUUUUAGCACUUUUGGCUGCGCAUGUUUGUUGGGAUUGUGGACAACAAGGGAAAGCGAAGAAGAGAAGGAGAUGAGGCUGCUGGCAACAACACCCUCCACCCCCAACGCAGACCCCAACCCGACGAGGGAUCACUGAUGGGGGGGGUCCACCAUCUCACCCUCCUCCGCCUCCAGCGGAGAGCCAAGGGGCAAACAAGUCAACCAACAAGCCAACCAACAAGCCAACACAAAGAGACCUUGUCACCCAACUCUGUCCUGAUUACCAACCACCGGUACCACCGCCGCCGCCACUACCACUCGCGCACGAUGCCCAACCCCGGAGCAGCUGCAUCUUCAACCACCCCUUCCAGAAGGGAGCGCCCUCUCUUUGCGUUGGAGCGGAAGGCAGUUCUUGCGCCUUGGAGAGCUGUCCGUUUCAGCACCACCGCCCCGCGCGCGACGGUGGGUCCGCGCCUGGCCCCCCGUCUCCCGAGACGCGCCCGCAGAUGGGGGAGCUGUCCGGUUCAGCACCAUCCUUGGGAUGCUUUGCCUUGCCUAGCCGUCCGAGGGGGGGCAGCCCCUUUUCGUGAGCACUUGCUGAAGUGCUGCCUGUAUUUUUUUGUUUCCACCCCCCCUCGCCUUCCCGAACCUUCUCUUCCCGCAUCCUUCUCUCUACCCCUUGUCUCCAUCGCGCUCGCUCUCUCCCCUGCGUUCUUAGGAUCCAGCCUGCAACAGCGUCAAGUCCCCUCUUUGGGUCACCCCCAAUGCCACGAUCUGAAGCAGACUCAUCCACGUCCUCAGCCAUCACUUCAGUAUUUCGAACCAACAACUACUCCGCAAUACAUGGUAGCGCUCUCCCCCCUCACUCAAGCCACCUGUAAUACCCAGUCCGUUUGCAAAAUACCAGCAGUUUGGAAGCAAACCCAACGCCAGCAGUGCUGAGUGGAAGACAGAGAGGUUCUGACGCAGAUGAACUAUACUAUUAAAAGACAGUGAUUGUUUUUUGCUGCCGAGAGACAUUUUUGCUCCAUCUUUUUUUGCAUGAGCUUCCUGGUCUUGGUGCCACGUCUUGGUGCCACGAGUCAUCCCACUAUGGCACGCUUCUUUUUAACAG